ACCCCACAGGAACUAGAGGGGCUGGUCGACAUCAUGUGUCGUGCUGUGUCUGAAUAUAAUGAGAACUGCCGCGUGGCGUUCUGUGAGAACCAGCAGUGGCAGGUGGCGGUGGUGUUAUUUGGUCUGGUGACCUGAAGUAUAUCCCCCUCGGUCUUAAAGCCGAGAUCUUCAGGGUGCUGGCAGCAUUCCCUAAGACGCCGGACGUGGCAGCCAGUCUGUGGCAUACACUGGAAGCCUCACAGGUGGAGCUGGAGGAGGUGGAGACCCAAGCGGAGGAAUUUCCCAUGAUGCAAGCUUUUCUGUCCUUACUGGACUCCCUCAUUGAUAUUCCUGCCUAGGGACCGCUCUCAGGGCCCCAGGAUUUCAACCCUACCUAGAGUUUGUCAAGAAUGUUUGAGAA
Long non-coding RNA from Saccostrea cuccullata (small rock oyster), 400 nucleotides. RefSeq lists it as uncharacterized. Lineage: Eukaryota; Metazoa; Mollusca; Bivalvia; Ostreida; Ostreidae. The record is from RefSeq and is a predicted model, not a curated record. The transcript has 3 exons.